Molecule: ribosomal RNA, 253 nt
Filed under: Eubacterium coprostanoligenes
Lineage: Bacteria; Bacillati; Bacillota; Clostridia; Eubacteriales; Eubacteriaceae
Description: partial 16S ribosomal RNA
Rfam family: Bacterial small subunit ribosomal RNA
Source: RNAcentral
UACGUAGGAUGCAAGCGUUGUCCGGAAUUACUGGGUGUAAAGGGAGCGCAGGCGGGUAUUUAAGUCAGCUGUGAAAACCAAGGGCUCAACCUUUGAAUUGCAGUUGAAACUGAGUAUCUUGAGUGGAGUAGAGGUAAGCGGAAUUCCGAGUGUAGCGGUGAAAUGCGUAGAUAUUCGGAGGAACACCGGUGGCGAAGGCGGCUUACUGGGCUCUAACUGACGCUGAGGCUCGAAAGUGUGGGUAGCAAACAGG